AGCGGGGUAGUCGCCGAGGCGCUCGGGGGACACGGUCGCCCAUGUGGGAUCGGCGGUCUCGGGCACUACGAACUGAACGCCGAGCUCCUGGAAGUACGAGAGAU
RNAcentral lists this unclassified non-coding RNA (104 nucleotides) under plant metagenome. RNAcentral's name for it is "partial contains 5.8S ribosomal RNA, internal transcribed spacer 2, and large subunit ribosomal RNA". The record is from RNAcentral.